RNAcentral lists this ribosomal RNA (223 nucleotides) under uncultured bacterium. RNAcentral describes it as "partial 16S ribosomal RNA". It matches the Rfam family "Bacterial small subunit ribosomal RNA", at positions 127 to 334 of the family's 1533-position model. The record is from RNAcentral.
CGCCCUCGAGUGGGGGACAACAGUUGGAAACGACUGCUAAUACCGCAUACGAUCCAAUCUCGGCAUCGAGACUGGAUGAAAGGUGGCCUCUAUUUAUAAGCUAUCACUGAAGGAGGGGAUUGCGUCUGAUUAGCUAGUUGGAGGGGUAACGGCCCACCAAGGCGAUGAUCAGUAGCCGGUCUGAGAGGAUGAACGGCCACAUUGGGACUGAGACACGGCCCAG